CAGCCGCCGCGGGAAUACGAAGGGGGCUAGCGUUGCUCGGAAUUACUGGGCGUAAAGGGAGCGUAGGCGGAUCGUUAAGUUGGGGGUGAAAGCCCGGGGCUCAACCUCGGAAUUGCCUUCAAUACUGGCGAUCUUGAGUAUGGAAGAGGUAUGUGGAACUCCGAGUGUAGAAGUGAAAUUCGUAGAGAUUGGGAAGAACACCGGUGGCGAAGGCGGCCAACUGGACUGGUAUUGACGCUGAGGCGCGAAAGCGUGGGGAGCAAACAGGAUUAGAGACCCCCGUAGUCCCUGUCUCUUAUAC
Molecule: ribosomal RNA, 301 nt
Filed under: uncultured bacterium
Lineage: Bacteria
Description: partial 16S ribosomal RNA
Rfam family: Bacterial small subunit ribosomal RNA
Source: RNAcentral